Cynoglossus semilaevis (tongue sole) is the source of this 2230-nucleotide long non-coding RNA. RefSeq lists it as uncharacterized. The record is from RefSeq and is a predicted model, not a curated record. The transcript is spliced from 2 exons. Lineage: Eukaryota; Metazoa; Chordata; Actinopteri; Pleuronectiformes; Cynoglossidae.
AGCAGGGUGUAGUAGCAGGGUGUAGACCACAUCAGACCACUGCCCCUCUGUGCUGUCCUUGUCAUGUCCAGCUCUGCUUCAGCUGGACUGCCUGGUUUACACCUUGUUUUCUCUGUACUGUGUUUUUCAGAUGUAAUUAUUAUUCAGUUAGAGACUGUAAUAUUGAUGCUGAUCUGUAGGAGGCAGCGUUGAAGGCGGUUGAACGGCAGAGUUGCCACGUUUUAUUAUUGUUGUUGCUUGUUUUUCCUCUACAUUCACUUGAAAGCUGUUUUAAUUUGCUUGUUUAGAAAGUAUUAUUUGUUUAUUCAGGCUUACUUUUGUUUAUGUCUCUACAAGAUGUUAGUGGAAGAGAUGGAGGUGGUCUGUGGUCAGAUCUGGCAACACUGAUCACGAUGAAUUGGAUUAGAAAUGAGCGGCUCAGGGAGACAGUUACGGUUGAGCAGUUAUGAGAUAUUGGACAAUAGGUGUUGGAGACAUGGAGGACAUUUAUGGAUGUCGUGAUGGAGACAUUUAGAUUGGUUGGUGUAACGGUGGAGGACGCAGGGGACAGGAGGAAAUGGAGACAGAUGGUUAAAAUGAAAAGUUUGUUUAACUAUAUAAUCUUUGUUCUGCUGCCCUCUACUGGUGGACAUAAGAAGUUGUCUGAUUUUAACACUCACUCAUGGUGACUCUCAGCACCAUCUUGCAUCCUCUGUUAUGAUAUUUUGCACGGAAGAUCUGUUUAGAACUUAAUUAUUCUCGUUUAACCUUAUUUUUUUAAUGCAAAAACAGACACGAAACUCAGUAGCAGUAAGAUAAUCAAAAAAUAAUAUGGAAUCUUAGGAAACUACAACUAUUGGUUGAUUUAUUUUUUUAUGAUUUAUUUUUUAAAAGAUCUCCUUAUAGACAAAGACUGCUUUUUUUCAUGCAAAAAAAUUCUAGCAAAAACCGAAGAAGAAGAAGAAGACUGUUGUUGUUGUUGUUGUUGUUGAAGGCUUUUAAAUCUGUUGAAGAAUGAACACAGCCACGUACAAACGAAGGAACCAAUUAUUUAUUCUGGAAAAAACUCAUUUCAUCUCAUCUCAUCGUUAUCAUUCUGUGUUGUCUUUAUUUGGAGCAGUGAUUUUUACAGAAUCACUUGACACUAACGUUCUCAUAUUCUUCAUGUCACUACUUGUAUUGUGGAUGGCAGCGUUUGAAAAAAUAACAGUUUUAAAAAUUUAAAAUAUAAGAGUUAACGUUAUUAGGAUUUUGUUUUUUCAAUAUUUCGUUGCUCGACCUUUCCUGCAUGCACUGCUAAUAAUACAAAACUAUUGUAUUGGUAUUUUUUCUUACUUUGUACAAAAACAUUUUUAAAAAUGUUGCGAAGAUAUGAAGUGCAGCAGGACGGUGUUACCCAGGGCUGAAUAUGGGUUGACUGAGGUGACUGUUGGAUUACUGUACAAAAGAUAGCUCUCUAAACUCAUUUGUUACAGUAUUCUAUGAUAUAUUUGAUGUGUUUUGCCCUUCACAGACUCCGGUGAUUCUUAUAUUCAUGCUGAGAAAGUUCUGUUAAGGUUCUCUCAUCAGGAUUUCAUAGGUGCAGAAAGUUGGAAAACAAGCAAAAAAAAUAUAGUCGGCUGUCAGUAAUGGAGGGGAAACAGUGUAUAAUCUGUUAAAUGACUAUAAUUUGACAGUUCUUUACUCUCCCUGUGCACACGUUUCUCUGGAUUCAUUAGUCUUAGAAAGGAAGAAUAAUUAAGAAAUGUAUAACUGACUAGUUUGGUUUAAGCUCUCUAUGUUGCAGGACAUUUGCAUGGAUUCCUAUAUUUUGUAUAAGGCAGCCAGCUCUGACAAUGGAAGAAAGAAUAGAAAUGUUUAAAGUGUAUAAUGUUUUAAGGUUUGGGCAAGUAACCUUUUCCACCUGCCUAACCCUUGAGACAAUCCUUCCACACCCCUCACACAUCAAUCUGCUAACUUGAUAUUAAAUUUAUUACCUCACAAACUGGAACCUGUUCUAAAAUUCAAGUAUAUUUAAGUUUGGAAUAUAUUAAUCCCCUGUAUUAGACUAUGUUUUUUCCUGUUAGUUUUUUCCUGCUUGUACACAGUAUUUUCAGUACCUGCACUGUACACGUGUAAAACAAAGGAGAGAAGACAUGAAAAAAAAAAAAAAAUGUGCAAAAAAGAAAAAACUGGAUCAGAGUGUAUUUGUGUGUGACGAUGGUUUUAUCCGCUUUGAUUAAACUCUAAUCAACUGGCUGCAAAAACUGAA